This is a long non-coding RNA of Sceloporus undulatus (fence lizard), 3097 nucleotides long. RefSeq lists it as uncharacterized. NCBI's taxonomy places the organism in Eukaryota, Metazoa, Chordata, Lepidosauria, Squamata, Phrynosomatidae. The record is from RefSeq and is a predicted model, not a curated record. The transcript has 5 exons.
GAUUGCUGUCUCAGUAUGUCACACACUGAAAAAUCUCCUCCCCCCCGCGAAACUUGCUAAAAUUCAAGUUUUUUUUUCUGGACACUUAAAAAGAAAUCUGUCUCUGUGUGAGAUGUAUAUGUUUGUGCGUAUUUUUUCUGUGUCUGUAGGCUUUUUGUGGUGGCAGUUAAACCAUGAAAUUCUGUCUCAAUAUAGGCCUUUAUUCCACAGACUCUACAAGUGCUCCUUUACUGGUAGUGCCUCAAAGCAUGUAUUGCAGAGGCCAAACAAUAAGUUGAUGCAAAUGCUCCCAGCAUUUACCAGCAUCUACCAAUUUCUUCUUCUUCCCCAUUACUCUGCAGGUCACAUCUCAGGGAUUACAGAAAAGCUAGAAGAAAGGAGGUGGGAGGGGGGUCUUAAAAGAGGUACAUAAAGUCAGAAGAGACUGUCGUGACUGAGCCUCAGAGACCACAUUUUCUAGCAAAUGUCCCCCUUAAUCUGAUUAAAGGCCUCUGCUAUCCUGUCUCCCCAAGGCAGAAGGAUGAGAGCUGGACUUCCUCCCUCUAGAAUCUAGCAGGAUGGAAAAUUGCUGAAGAGGCAACACAUAAGAGUCGCCUGCCUUUGAUCAUCCCCAAAGAGCUUGAUAAGGUCUUUUCAGAAGAAGGCCCAGCUAAAGUCAAUGGAGAUUACUUCCAGAUAUAAAAGGAAGGCACUAGAAGAAUUCACAGUUUUCAGGAGUGGGCAGAGAAUGAUGAGUGUUUGCUGGAGAGAGGUUUAGGGAGAAGGAGAAUGGAACAGAAUAUCAUGCGAAAGGGCAUUGCUGACAGGCUUGAUCACUGGACAAGAGUUUCUCAUUGCAAAGCUGCCUAGUUCACACGAAGAAGUCAUCUUUCUGUGCUGUGUUUACUGUCUACUUCAGUAUAUGGAAUGUAAAGUCAUUUAAUUGAACCAGCCCUGGAAGCAAGCAUCAUAUAUUUGUCCGACUCAUGACUUCUCAAUUCAAUAUUCAGUUCACAGUCAUAAAAAACUGAUCCAGAAGCAGAAAUGAUACCGGGUGAAUUCUCCGCACCGUCACCAAUCCCAUGCUAUAAAUAAUGGACGAUGAAUAGUGAAUUGCCAACAUGCAUGCUGUUUGGAAGGAAGGACCCCGCAGGCUGAAAUUUGUUUGCAUAAACUAUAAGUCAAACAAUUACCCAAUGACAAAUGCAUUCAUAAAAACCCAAAUAGGUGUGUUGUUCAUUCACAGCAAAUGCUAAACUUCUCACGUAAAUUAUUCAGAGAGAACAAUUCAGCCAUGAAAUUCACUGUUGACAAAUUCAAGGUAUUUCUUAUGGGGAACUUGGGGAAGAAUAAUUUGAGCUACUCAUACACGUUGUUGGCUUCUAAAUUAAGUAUAACACUCAGAAGGGGGGGGGAGAGACUUUAUCAGCAAUGUUCUCCAAUCCACUGAAAGCCCCUAUUCACAACAGAGCACCACAGUAAACAUUUUGCAUACAAAAUAUUCAGAAGGAAUACCUAAGAAAGAGAAUGGCAUAGUGGUUAUGGGGAGAGUUCUCCAAAAUAUUGGGAUAGAAAUGUUCAAAGAAUUGGUCAAAGUGAGCAUAGAGUUCAGGUUGAGAACAUAGGAUGACUGUAGGGAGGGUUAGAAAAUUAAUCUUAAUUAUAAGAUCCUGAACUGCUGCAUGUGGAGUAUGAAGUUCUGUAAAACUUUGUGCUUCACUUCAACAACAGCCAAACCUUGCGGAGUGCUGCUACUGAUGUCAAAUAGUGUCGAAUGGCCUAACCCCUAUCAAGCCCUCAGGGGAGUGAAGGGAAUGAUGGUUCAGGCGACUUGGAGGGCAAGGUAGCAACAAGAUGGAGACAGUGUCAUGUGGCAAAUAAACCUAAAGCUUAAUUAUUUUCACAUUUUUAAAGAGGUUUAAAAGCCACAUGUGAAAGUAUAUUGCUUCAACUCAAUAUAGGGCUUACAGGAAGCAGCAUGAAGUGGAGCAAGUAGGUUGAUGGAAGAAAGGGUUGUAGGUCCAAUUGGAAAGGUGGGAGAGAAAGCAUGCUGGGGGAAAUGGAGAGAAGGUAAGAGGUGCAGCAGGUGAGUGCAAUAGAAGGAAAAGUGGGAUGGAAGGCAGCAAAGAGAGGAUGAGAGAUAUAAGAGAUGAUGUGCAAGAAGUAAGGGAGGGAAAAUGAGGGAAGUGAGGUUAGGCAAGGGGAGAAGAGGCAAGAUAGACUAAGAAAUGUAGUGGCACUGUGCAAGGAACAAAAGAAGCAGGCAUAAGUUGCAGAAGGAGGAUGGGAGUUUCAAGACCCAAGGGAGGUGAGCAUAGCAAAGGUACAAGGUGUGGGUUGAGGAAGGGAGAGAGAUGCAGCACAAAGUAAGACAGAAAAGCAUUCUGAAGGCAUGUGGUAGGACAAGAAGAAGGAAUGAAGAGAAGGUGAAAGUUUUGUUGGAAGGGUGCAAAGGGAAAGAGAAAGAACUACUGUAUUAGGUGCAAAGUGUGAGGGAAAAGAAUGUGGUUUUUUAAUGCUCAUCCUAAUUUUCCCUUGCAUUUCUCCCAUGAAUUAGAUGAGGGUCCCUCUCAAGAGCUCCUCUCAUACUUUCAUGGAUCUGUAUCUCUUUUUGUCAGCAACAACAAAAACACCCUGGUAGGAAAAAUACUAUAGUGAUCUGCUGAAAAUCAAUAGGGUGCUUGUGCAGGUAGCUUUGCUGAAAGAUAGUGAUGACUCAAGAUCACAUGGUAAAUUCAAUGAUUGAGGCUGCUGCCACACUGCAGAAUUAAUGCAAUUUGACAUUGCUUUAAAUGUCAUGGCUCCAUCUUAUGGAAUCCUGGGAUUUGUAGUUUGCUGUGACAUCAGAGCUCACUGACAGAGAAAGCUAAAUAUCUCACAAAACUACAAAUCUGAGAAUUUCAUAGUAUUGAGUCAUAGCAGUUAAAUUGGUGUCAAACUGUAUUAAUUCUAAAGUACAGAUGCAACCUAAACAGAGAUUUCAACUUGUGUCUCUCUGUACCAGCAUUUUAAAUAUUGUUUUACAUUUCUUCUUGCAGAAGAAUAGUUGCUAUUAAAAGGUAUCAAGGCUGAAACAUAAUAGCAUCAAAAUGCAACUGUUGUGUUAAAUUUCCACAUU